This 790-nucleotide small RNA is filed under the name uncultured Cryptococcus. RNAcentral's name for it is "eukaryotic LSU rRNA". The stretch from base 505 to 790 matches the Rfam family "Eukaryotic large subunit ribosomal RNA", at positions 1 to 281 of the family's 3401-position model. The record is from RNAcentral. Lineage: Eukaryota; Fungi; Basidiomycota; Tremellomycetes.
CUUGGUCAUUUAGAGGAAGUAAAAGUCAUAACAAGGUUUCCGUAGGUGAACCUGCGGAAGGAUCAUUAAUAAUGCCCUCUGGCUUCGGUCAGCUGGGUUCAAAUGAGUGCCUUCUCUUCGGAGUUGGCCAUCCUCACACACCGUGAACUGUGGCUUCGGCCAUCACAAACUGUUAGUAAUGAAUGUAAUAUCAUAACAAAAACAAAACUUUUAACAACGGAUCUCUUGGCUCUCGCAUCGAUGAAGAACGCAGCGAAAUGCGAUAAGUAAUGUGAAUUGCAGAAUUCAGUGAAUCAUCGAAUCUUUGAACGCACCUUGCGCCCUUUGGUAUUCCGAAGGGCAUGCCUGUUUGAGUGUCAUGAAACCUCACCCCACUUGGGUUUUUGCCUGAGCGGUGGUGUAUUGGGUGUUGCCUUGCCAAAGGCUCGCCUUAAAAGUAUAAGCACCUUGGAUGUAAUACGUUUCGUCCUUCUGGGUGGCUAAUAACCCCACAUAUUCAUGAUCUGGCCUCAAAUCAGGUAGGGCUACCCGCUGAACUUAAGCAUAUCAAUAAGCGGAGGAAAAGAAACUAACUAGGAUUCCCUUAGUAACGGCGAGUGAACCGGGAUGAGCUCAAAUUUGAAAUCUGGCGUCUUUCAGGCGUCCGAGUUGUAAUCUAUAGAGGCGUUUUCCGCGCCGGACCGCGUCCAAGUCUCUUGGAAUAGAGUAUCAAAGAGGGUGACAAUCCCGUACUUGACGCGACAACCGGUGCUCUGUGAUACGUUCUCAAUGAGUCGAGUUGUUUGGGAAU